GGGGCUCUAGCUCAUCCGGGAGAGCGCCACACUGGCAGUGUGGAGGUACGGGGUUCGAGUCCCCGGAGCUCCACCC
RNAcentral lists this transfer RNA (76 nucleotides) under uncultured Thermomicrobiales bacterium. Its description in RNAcentral is "tRNA-Ala-GGC". It matches the Rfam family "tRNA". From Rfam's summary of the family: Transfer RNA (tRNA) molecules are approximately 80 nucleotides in length. Their secondary structure includes four short double-helical elements and three loops (D, anti-codon, and T loops). The record is from RNAcentral. Lineage: Bacteria; Pseudomonadati; Thermomicrobiota; Thermomicrobia; Thermomicrobiales.